RNAcentral lists this ribosomal RNA (44 nucleotides) under Phytophthora citrophthora. RNAcentral's name for it is "partial 28S ribosomal RNA". The record is from RNAcentral. Lineage: Eukaryota; Oomycota; Peronosporomycetes; Peronosporales; Peronosporaceae.
UUGGACCUGAUAUCAGGCGAGAUUACCCGCUGAACUUAAGCAUA